This 1522-nucleotide ribosomal RNA is filed under the name Salmonella enterica subsp. enterica serovar Baildon. Its description in RNAcentral is "bacterial SSU rRNA". It matches the Rfam family "Bacterial small subunit ribosomal RNA". The record is from RNAcentral. Lineage: Bacteria; Pseudomonadati; Pseudomonadota; Gammaproteobacteria; Enterobacterales; Enterobacteriaceae.
AGAGUUUGAUCAUGGCUCAGAUUGAACGCUGGCGGCAGGCCUAACACAUGCAAGUCGAACGGUAACAGGAAGCAGCUUGCUGCUUCGCUGACGAGUGGCGGACGGGUGAGUAAUGUCUGGGAAACUGCCUGAUGGAGGGGGAUAACUACUGGAAACGGUGGCUAAUACCGCAUAACGUCGCAAGACCAAAGAGGGGGACCUUCGGGCCUCUUGCCAUCAGAUGUGCCCAGAUGGGAUUAGCUAGUUGGUGAGGUAACGGCUCACCAAGGCGACGAUCCCUAGCUGGUCUGAGAGGAUGACCAGCCACACUGGAACUGAGACACGGUCCAGACUCCUACGGGAGGCAGCAGUGGGGAAUAUUGCACAAUGGGCGCAAGCCUGAUGCAGCCAUGCCGCGUGUAUGAAGAAGGCCUUCGGGUUGUAAAGUACUUUCAGCGGGGAGGAAGGUGUUGCGGUUAAUAACCGCAGCAAUUGACGUUACCCGCAGAAGAAGCACCGGCUAACUCCGUGCCAGCAGCCGCGGUAAUACGGAGGGUGCAAGCGUUAAUCGGAAUUACUGGGCGUAAAGCGCACGCAGGCGGUCUGUCAAGUCGGAUGUGAAAUCCCCGGGCUCAACCUGGGAACUGCAUUCGAAACUGGCAGGCUUGAGUCUUGUAGAGGGGGGUAGAAUUCCAGGUGUAGCGGUGAAAUGCGUAGAGAUCUGGAGGAAUACCGGUGGCGAAGGCGGCCCCCUGGACAAAGACUGACGCUCAGGUGCGAAAGCGUGGGGAGCAAACAGGAUUAGAUACCCUGGUAGUCCACGCCGUAAACGAUGUCUACUUGGAGGUUGUGCCCUUGAGGCGUGGCUUCCGGAGCUAACGCGUUAAGUAGACCGCCUGGGGAGUACGGCCGCAAGGUUAAAACUCAAAUGAAUUGACGGGGGCCCGCACAAGCGGUGGAGCAUGUGGUUUAAUUCGAUGCAACGCGAAGAACCUUACCUGGUCUUGACAUCCACAGAAGAAUCCAGAGAUGGAUUUGUGCCUUCGGGAACUGUGAGACAGGUGCUGCAUGGCUGUCGUCAGCUCGUGUUGUGAAAUGUUGGGUUAAGUCCCGCAACGAGCGCAACCCUUAUCCUUUGUUGCCAGCGGUCCGGCCGGGAACUCAAAGGAGACUGCCAGUGAUAAACUGGAGGAAGGUGGGGAUGACGUCAAGUCAUCAUGGCCCUUACGACCAGGGCUACACACGUGCUACAAUGGCGCAUACAAAGAGAAGCGACCUCGCGAGAGCAAGCGGACCUCAUAAAGUGCGUCGUAGUCCGGAUUGGAGUCUGCAACUCGACUCCAUGAAGUCGGAAUCGCUAGUAAUCGUGGAUCAGAAUGCCACGGUGAAUACGUUCCCGGGCCUUGUACACACCGCCCGUCACACCAUGGGAGUGGGUUGCAAAAGAAGUAGGUAGCUUAACCUUCGGGAGGGCGCUUACCACUUUGUGAUUCAUGACUGGGGUGAAGUCGUAACAAGGUAACCGUAGGGGAACCUGCGGUUG